RNAcentral lists this ribosomal RNA (1566 nucleotides) under Triticum aestivum (bread wheat). Its description in RNAcentral is "partial small subunit ribosomal RNA". Lineage: Eukaryota; Viridiplantae; Streptophyta; Magnoliopsida; Poales; Poaceae. The record is from RNAcentral.
AUGGAGCUAGCUCAAAUGGCAGAAACCACACCCGUUCAGCUCGUCUGCUACAGUCUGCUCUGCGUCCUUGUCGUCACCAUAGUCCUCAAGCUCAAGCUCAAGAUCAGACCAGACUCUGCCGGCCGUCUGAACCUGCCUCCCGGCCCAUGGGCGCUGCCGGUGAUCGGCCACAUGCACUUCCUGCUGGGCGCCCUGCCGCACCAGGCCAUGCGCAGUCUCGCCCGGCGGCAUGGGCCCGUCAUGCUCCUCCGCCUGGGCCACGUCCCGACGCUGGUGCUCUCCUCCUCGGAGGCGGCAAGGGAGGUGAUGAAGGUCCAUGACGCCGCCUUCGCCAACCGGCCCGUGUACGCCACCGCGGACGUCCUCACCUACGGAGGGCAGAACAUCUCCUUCGCACGCCUCGACAGCCGGCACUGGAAGACCGCCCGGAAGCUGUGCAGCGUGGAGCUGCUCAGCCCGAGGCGCGUCCGCUCCUUCCGCCCCAUCCGGGAGGAGGAGGCGGCGAGGCUCGUGCGGUCCGUCGUCGCUGAUGCCGGCACCGCGGCCGCCGUCAACGUCAGCGAGAGGGUGAAGGUGAUGAUGAACGACGUCAUCAUGAGGGUCUCCGUCGGCGACCGGUGCCAGCAGCGGGAGCUGUACCUGGAGGAGCUGGACAGGGGGCUGGGCGUCUUGUCCGGGUUCAACCUGACCGACCUGUUCCCGACGUCGCGCCUGGCACGGGCGCUCGGCGGUAGGUCCCUGAGGGCGGCAUGGGAGGUGCGCGAGAGGAUCCAGUCCAUCUUGGACGCCAUGGUCGAGGACCACAAGAGGGCGAUGGAGAGCGAGGAAGCCACUGCCGCCGGCGCCGGCCAUGAGAACGAGGACAUCCUCACCACCCUGCUGCGGUUCCAGACGGACGGUGGGAUGGGCGGCAUCGCCCUCACGAACGAGAAUGUCAACGGCAUCUUGUUCGACAUUUUCUCCGCCGGGUCAGAGACGACGGCGACGACCACCGUCUGGGCCAUGUCGGAGCUUAUCAGGAACCCACGGACAAUGGCCAUCGCACAGUCUGAAGUGCGGCGAGUGCUCCAAGGCAAGACCAAGGUGGCCGAGGCGGACAUCGACGGCCAGCUCCACUACCUCCAGAUGGUAAUCAAGGAGACCUUCAGGUUGCACCCUCCGGUGCCGUUGCUCCUCCCGAGGCUGUGCACGGAACAGAAAAAAAUCAUGGGCUACGACGUGCCUCCGGGCACCACGGUGUUUGCAAACGUGUGGGCCAUCGGCAAGGACGAGAAGAGCUGGACCGACGCGAGCGAGUUCAAGCCCGAGAGGUUCGAGGUCGAGAAGGUGGACUACGGUGGUACCGACUUCAGGUUCCUCCCUGGUGGCGCCGGUCGAAGGAUGUGCCCUGGUAUGAUGUUUGGUGUGUCCAACAUGGAGAUUGCUCUCGCGAGCCUUCUCUAUCACUUCGACUGGAGGCUCCCCGAUGGUGCGAGUCCGGAGAAGCUUGAUAUGACCGAGGCAUAUGGGAUCACGGCGCGUCGGAAGACUAACCUCUUGUUGGAAGCUACUGUUUUUGUGCCUUAG